CUGGCUCAAGAUGAACGCUGGCGGCGUGCUUAACACAUGCAAGUCGAACGAAGCACUUGCAGCGGACUGGAGAGCUUGCUCAAAGGGAAGCAGCAUUUGACUGAGUGGCGGACGGGUGAGUAACGCGUGGAUAACCUGCCUCAUACAGGGGGAUAACAGUUGGAAACGGCUGUUAAUACCGCAUAAGCGCACGAAACCGCGUGGUUUUGUGUGAAAAACUCCGGUGGUAUGAGAUGGGUCCGCGUCUGAUUAGCUAGUUGGCAGGGUAACGGCCUACCAAGGCGACGAUCAGUAGCCGGCCUGAGAGGGUGUACGGCCACAUUGGGACUGAGACACGGCCCAAACUCCUACGGGAGGCAGCAGUGGGGAAUAUUGCACAAUGGGGGAAACCCUGAUGCAGCGACGCCGCGUGGGUGAAGAAGUAUUUCGGUAUGUAAAGCCCUAUCAGCAGGGAAGAAAAUGACGGUACCUGACUAAGAAGCCCCGGCUAACUACGUGCCAGCAGCCGCGGUAAUACGUANGGGGCAAGCGUUAUCCGGAUUUACUGGGUGUAAAGGGAGCGUAAGUGGCGUGCCAAGUCAAGAGUGAAAACCCAGGGCCCAACCCUGGGACUGCUCUUGAAACUGGCAAGCUUGANUGCUGGANAAGUUAACGGAAUUCCUAGUGUAGCGGUGAAAUGCGUAGAUAUUAGGAAGGACACCAGUGGCCGAAGCGGCUUACUGGACAGUGACUGACACUGAAGCUCCAAAGCGUGGGGAGCAAACAGGAUUAGAUACCCUGGUAGUCCACGCCGUAACGAUGAAUACUAAGUGGUGGGGGAACAAAAAUAACUCGGUGGCGGCGCUAAGGC
This 850-nucleotide ribosomal RNA is filed under the name uncultured bacterium. Its description in RNAcentral is "bacterial SSU rRNA". It matches the Rfam family "Bacterial small subunit ribosomal RNA", at positions 19 to 858 of the family's 1533-position model. The record is from RNAcentral.